Molecule: long non-coding RNA, 715 nt
Organism: Spinacia oleracea (spinach)
Lineage: Eukaryota; Viridiplantae; Streptophyta; Magnoliopsida; Caryophyllales; Amaranthaceae
Exons: 4
Source: RefSeq, a predicted model, not a curated record
GUUAAAUCCAAAAAAAUACCAACCAUCUACCUGCCACUAUUAGGACUACACAGCUUUAAUAAAAAAGAAAAAAGAAAAGAGGAAAGAGUAGAGAGUAAAGAUCUUCACCGCAGCCCAGCGGUAGCGAAGGCAGACAACAUAUUCGCCAAACGCCGCCUCCACCACUUUCCGACUGCUUCUCCACCUGCAGCCGGGUUGCGCGACGUUUCCGCCUCGCCUAAAGGGAAUCGUUGUUCUUCAUUACUUGUUCUUCAAUUCAUAUUGUAGUUUUGCCCCAAUUUCUUCUGACUAAAAUUGUAGGUUGGAGCAACCUUAGGUCAAAGAUCGCACCAUUAGUGUUGAAGAUUUCAACCAUAAAGUUUAUCGUUGGAAUUCUUCAGCUUUGUGAAUUUUUUGAACUUUUAGGGGUGCAGUAAAGCCCCAAAGACUCUUGGGUGGCAGGAGGAAGAUUGAUAAGGGUGGAAUUGAGGGCGUUAAACAUGUUGAGAGCUUAUUGACUUCACCUGCAAUCAAGUAUUCAAUAAUCCGAGGGAGCGGCCUUUCACCUUUGAGGAGAUAGAUGAAGUUCGAGAAAUGUUCGCAAACUUCAUUACUAGUGAUCGUCUUUGAUAUUUUCUUGUACUGAAUCUUAAAUUAUGGAUGCUAGGUUUUCAUAUAAUUGUAAUGUAAACGACUUUUAUAUUUAUAAUUGUAUACUAUUUAAUUUAAUUAUCUA